CAUAGCUCAGGUAACAGCUGCUGCUCCUGUCAUUCAGGUCACCACUGGUCAUAGCUCAGGUAACAGCUGCUGCUCCUGUUCAUUCAGGUCACCACUGGUCAUAGCUCAGAUGCCCUGAUUAGAUUGYUCAAUGGUCCUAACUCCUGCUCUGGGAGAGUGGAGGUCUACCACAGUGGUAGCUGGGGGACGGUGUGUGAUGACUCGUGGGACUUGAGUGACGCCCAGGUGGUGUGUAGACAGCUGGGCUGUGGGAGAGCUCUGUCUGCACCACACCAAGCCCACUUCGGACAGGGGAAUGGACAGAUCUGGCUGGAUGACGUUCUCUGUUCUGGAGGGGAGUCUAUCUCUCAUGCAGUGUGGCCACCUAGGGUUUGGGUCACACAACUGUAAUCAUGGUGAAGAUGCGGGUGUUGUCUGUUCAGCUUCAGCAGGUGGCAGCAACACACAGCAGCACCACCAUCUCUGGAACACUACAACAGAGACACGAGGACCAAUCUACCCAACAACCCCAUCGGUAGUUAACUCCACGCCAGGGUGCAAGGGGCUAGGUCACAGUGGGUGGAGGUGGAACCAGAAGUGAUAUCAUAUCCUGGCCAGACGGUUAACCUGCGUGUGCCUUCACAGGAAC
Non-coding RNA from Salvelinus sp. IW2-2015, 628 nucleotides. The record is from RefSeq and is a predicted model, not a curated record. Lineage: Eukaryota; Metazoa; Chordata; Actinopteri; Salmoniformes; Salmonidae.